Molecule: long non-coding RNA, 2670 nt
Organism: Pseudophryne corroboree (corroboree frog)
Lineage: Eukaryota; Metazoa; Chordata; Amphibia; Anura; Myobatrachidae
Exons: 3
Source: RefSeq, a predicted model, not a curated record
UAUAGCUGCUACUCUUGGCUCCUUACUCCAUUGUACCAACCUGAUUCUCCUGCUUAACACAAUUAUAAUAAUGCACAUAAGUCCACGCGGAAUGUGAUAGAAAGAUGUUUUGGGGUGCUGAAAUUUAGGUUUCGGUGUCUGGAUAAGUCUGCAGGGCUUUUGUUGUAUAGUCCCUCAAAGGUGACUAGGAUUGUGUUCUGCUGCUGUUUUCUUCAUAACAUGUGUUUGCGGCAACAUCUGCCACAUGUUGUUGAUGAACAAAACAGUCAGCAAGUAGGUGAGUUAGAAACAUCUGGCGACAGUGUGAGUACAGAUGUAGGGAGGCAGGUAAGGCAAGAAGUGAUUAUGCGUUAUUUUAACGACAGCUGAGGGGAUUGUGGAUCCUCGCUUUGUGGACUGGCCAAAAUGGCUUGUGGUGGCAGGGAUGACACUGUAGAGAUGCGCCGUUGUGGUGGUGAGGAUGCUGCUGGAGAUUCAGCCUCAAGCCGGCGUCUCUUGAAUAUGUGUAUACACUAAAUUCUUACCUGCAUCGCCAGCAUCUGCAUCUCUUGGCAGUGUGGGUUGUGGCCUGGCUGUGCUGCGUCUCUUAAGUACUGUAGAAAUAUGAAGAUUGUCCUUAUGAACAUUCUAUUAUGUUUAUAUGUUUAUGCAAAAUCCUUAUUGUGAUGGAAACAUAUGAGGAACCUGAUGAGAAGUGAACCAAACUAUGCUUAUGCUUUUCUGCCUGACUUCAUUGGGUGUGUAUAGUUAAAUUAUGAAACCAUUACACCAACCAAUCCAUACACAAAGGUGCAGAAAUAACAAUAUUAUACUACUUAAAACCCAACCGUGGUAGCUUAACACAACCAGAAUAUUGCUCUGUAUUUCACAUUUUUUUGCUGCUAACAACCAAACACUAACCCCAAAUAUAUGUGCAAAAUUGUAAGCAUAAAAUUCAAAUAUGCAUAAAAAAAUCACAUCAACCAUACAAAGGACAACCCAGAACAACACACAAUAACCAUAAGUCCAUUUAAAAAAUGUUUAAAUAUUUUUUGGCAAAACACAUGACUCACACUUCAUUUAAAGACACCAACAACAAUUUUCUUUUGUAUUAAAAAAACAGAAAAAGCCCAAGGCCACCUGCUACAUUGACAAUACAAAGGAUUAAACAUAACUAUUUGUGAUUAAAACUACAUCACCAACACAUUAGAAGAAUGAACCAACUUACAAUCACAAUUAGCUAGAAGACAUUUCAGACAACUAAGGACAAAGCACAGAUGUUGUAAUUAUAAAUAAACAACAAAUUUAAACUCACCAUCCUGCCUUGGGCGAUCCGAAUCCCGGACAUGAGUCGCACCAACCACUUCUGGCGGAAUAAGAGUACGCACAGGCUCCUCCCAAUCCUGAUAUAACGCUCGGAAGGGGUGUCCACCCCCUGUUUGGCGGGCUGAUUUAGCCUCCUUAAACAUCUUAGCCUUGACACGGCGCUUGAUGUCGUAGAAUCGCUUACGACACGUGUCCUCGGUCCUUCUCACCACACCCUCACUAUUAACUGCCGCAACGACCUUCCCCCACAGAACACUCUUCCUGCGUGAAGAAACCUUUGCAGCAUCAUGGCCAAACAGCUGUCGAUGAUGCCUCAUCAGCUCCCGCACCAAUGCCAUAUUCUCUGCGUAGCUGAAUUUGACAUUGCGGCCCGUCUUUGUAGUGGUGCGUGGCUGCGGAGCCACAGCACCAUCACUGUCAAAAUCAGUCGAGGCCGCAGCAGCAACCUCCCCCUCCUCCUCACUAACCUCCUCCACCUCACUCACCUCCUCCCUCUCACUCACCUCCUCCACCUCACUCACCUCCUCCCUCUCACUCACCUCCUCCACCACACUCACCUCUGACUGGGAGAUAUUCAGGACAAACAACAAAUAACACUGAGAAAAAAAACAGUAAACACACUCCUCCACUACCACUACACACCACACACCAAACACACACACACACACACACACACACACACACACACACACACACACACACACACACUCACUCACAAACAAUGACAAUAGACGUUAAAAAAAAAACUUAGACAAAAUACUAGACAGACUUUUAAAUAGCUACACAACAAGUAUGACAAGACUACUUACACACACAGUACAGCACUCAACAAUCGCAAAGAACCUCCUCAAAACCGCCAAAAACUCCUAUCAACUCACCAACUCCAAACACACCUUCCUCUCACCUCUCCACUAGCUAAACCAACAAGGUUCGGACGGUUUGGGGCGGUUUUAUAGUAAUGAGCACAGACACUCCUCCAUCACGAAAUCAAACCAAUCACGGACGAGUGACAAAAACGAAACUUAGAAAAAAACCGCGUCCGGGACCGGAAAAACACUGCUGUAACCGAAAAAUGACGCAGUCGGAAAAAAAAACAGAGAACACGGCCGCAAAUCCACAAAAUCGGCCGCAUUCUACCUUGGAAAAACAAGAAUGACAUCGACAUCGAAAAAUGGAAAUAAUCAAAACACGACAGCAUAGUAAAUGAGGCGUAAUAAAUUCAAAAAGUUCCAAAUUCACACAUUCAAUGUCAUUCGUGUUUAAACUUUAAUCUCAUUCUGAAAAAUACGAAUUUUAGUAAAUAUACCCCCUUGUGUGUGCUGUAGGUGCUGUGCUCCACUGCAUUUACAUAAAUAUAAGCACUGU